This is a long non-coding RNA of Mustela erminea (ermine), 145 nucleotides long. RefSeq lists it as uncharacterized. The transcript has 3 exons. The record is from RefSeq and is a predicted model, not a curated record. NCBI's taxonomy places the organism in Eukaryota, Metazoa, Chordata, Mammalia, Carnivora, Mustelidae.
UUGUGCUGUCAAAUAAAUUUUUAAAAAUCUUAAAAAAAAAAAACAACCCAUUGUUCUAGUUUGUACCUUGGAUUAAUGAUACAUGUUUUUUUGAUAGCUAAAUUGGUAAGUGAAAGAGUGUGUGUGUGUCUCUGGUGUGUGUGGU